AUUGAACGCUGGCGGCAGGCUUAACACAUGCAAGUCGAGCGGGGGAAGGUAGCUUGCUACCGGACCUAGCGGCGGACGGGUGAGUAUGCUUAGGAAUCUGCCUAUUAGUGGGGGACAACAUCUCGAAAGGGAUGCUAAUACCGCAUACGUCCUACGGGAGAAAGCAGGGGAUCUUCGGACCUUGCGCUAAUAGAUGAGCCUAAGUCGGAUUAGCUAGUUGGUGGGGUAAAGGCCUACCAGGGCGACGAUCUGUAGCGGGUCUGAGAGGAUGAUCCGCCACACUGGGACUGAGACACGGCCCAGACUCCUACGGGAGGCAGCAGUGGGGAAUAUUGGACAAUGGGGGGAACCCUGAUCCAGCCAUGCCGCGUGUGUGAAGAAGGCCUUAUGGUUGUAAAGCACUUUAAGCGAGGAGGAGGCUACUCUAGUUAAUACCUAGGGAUAGUGGACGUUACUCGCAGAAUAAGCACCGGCUAACUCUGUGCCAGCCGCCGCUGUAA
RNAcentral lists this ribosomal RNA (500 nucleotides) under uncultured bacterium. RNAcentral describes it as "partial 16S ribosomal RNA". It matches the Rfam family "Bacterial small subunit ribosomal RNA", at positions 30 to 523 of the family's 1533-position model. The record is from RNAcentral.